Molecule: ribosomal RNA, 158 nt
Filed under: Auritella chamaecephala
Lineage: Eukaryota; Fungi; Basidiomycota; Agaricomycetes; Agaricales; Inocybaceae
Description: 5.8S ribosomal RNA
Rfam family: 5.8S ribosomal RNA
About the family: 5.8S ribosomal RNA (5.8S rRNA) is a component of the large subunit of the eukaryotic ribosome. It is transcribed by RNA polymerase I as part of the 45S precursor that also contains 18S and 28S rRNA.
Source: RNAcentral
CAACUUUCAGCAACGGAUCUCUUGGCUCUCGCAUCGAUGAAGAACGCAGCGAAAUGCGAUAAGUAAUGUGAAUUGCAGAAUUCAGUGAAUCAUCGAAUUUUUGAACGCAUCUUGUGUUCCUUGGUAUUCCGAGGAGCAUGCCUGUUUGAGUGUCAUUU